Molecule: ribosomal RNA, 497 nt
Filed under: uncultured bacterium
Lineage: Bacteria
Description: partial 16S ribosomal RNA
Rfam family: Bacterial small subunit ribosomal RNA
Source: RNAcentral
GACGAACGCUGGCGGCGUGCCUAACACAUGCAAGUCGAGCGAACGGACGAGAAGCUUGCUUCUCUGAUGUUUGCGGCGGACGGGUGUGUCACACGUGUAUAACCUACCUAUAAGACUGGGAUAACUUCGGGACACCGGAGCUUAUACCGGAUGAUCUUUUGAACCGCAUGGUUCAUAAGUGAAAGUCGGUCUUUCUGUCACUUCUAGCUGGAUCCGCGCUGCAUUGGUUGGUUGGUAAGGUAACGGCUUACCAAGGCAACGAGGCAUAGCCGACCUGAGAGAGUGAUCGGCCACACGGGAACUGAGACAGGGUCCAUACUCCUGCGGGAGGCAGCAGUAGGGAAUCUUCCGCAAUGGGCGAAAGCCUUACGGAGCAACGCGGCGUGAGUGAUGAAGGUCUUCGGAUCGUAAAACUCUGUUAUUAGGGAUGAACAUAUGUGGAAGGAGCUGUGCAGAUCUUGACGGUACCGAAUCAAAAAGCCACGGCUAACUACGUG